GCCGCCGUCUGUCCGCUGCGGGGCCGUCCUGCCGCGGCGGGCAGGGCAGGACUCGGCGGGCUUGGCUGGAGAGCCAGGCGGCUCAAGGACAGAGACACCUUCAAACGGCGGGGUUACACCUCUGUGCGCAGAGGGACGCGACACUGCGAUGGCACCGCCGGCAGAACUGUUACUCCAGCCUUUCCCCGUCUCUCAGACUUCGUUUGGUUUAGGCAGUGAAUUAUUUCACGUCCCGAGCAGCAGCCAUCACGGCCCUGAUUCAAUUUGCAGCCCAGCUAUAAAGACACCAUUGCCAACACAGAGUACUCCUACACAGAAGCUUGGAAGAACAAGAUUAUUUAGAUGAAUCUGCAUUUCUCAAUAUAUCUCUUCCCUAUAAAAUCUCACCAGCACCAAGAGCAAAGAAGGGAAGGAGUAAUCAUUCUGUUGUAGCCACCCUUGCCAGUGCUACUGUUACUAUAGAACAAGACUACAACAACCCCCUUUGUCC
This is a long non-coding RNA of Apus apus (common swift), 490 nucleotides long. RefSeq lists it as uncharacterized. The record is from RefSeq and is a predicted model, not a curated record. NCBI's taxonomy places the organism in Eukaryota, Metazoa, Chordata, Aves, Apodiformes, Apodidae. The transcript is spliced from 3 exons.